AGGAAAAAAUUAAUAAAUUUAAUAAUAAUAAAAAUAAUUUUAAUUUAUAAUAAUUUAAUAGGGGUUAAAGUAUUAUUUAAAGAAAAAAUUAUAAAAUUUAUAGUUAAUUAGUAUUGUGAAAGAAUUUUGAAAUAUAUGAAAUAAUAAUUUAUUAAAAAGUAAAUUUUAUUUAUUGUAUCUUGUGUAUCAGAGUUUAUUAAAAAUAUUUAAUUUAAAUAUUAAUUUCUCGAAUUUAAAAGAGUUAAAUAAUUAUAAAAGUUAAUGUAGUAAAAUUAUUUUAAAUAAUUAUUUUGAAAUGAAAUGUUAUUCGUUUUUGAAGAUAUCUAGUUUUUUUAGAAAAAAAUUUAAUUUUGAAUUUAUAAAUUAAAUAAAAUUAAUUAAUUAAUUUUAUUUAAAAAAAAUUUUAUAUUUUAAGGGAUAAGCUUUAAAUUAAAUUUUUAUAAUAAAAAAAUAUAUUUUUGAAAAUUUUAUAAUUUAUAUUGUUAAUAAAUUUUAAUUUAUUAUAAAUAAUUUCAAAUAAUAUAAAAUUUAAAUUAAUUUAAAUUUUUAUAAAAAAAUUUUUUUUAUUUGUGAAAAAUUAAAUAUAAUGAUAAAAUUAGUAUAUUUUUAUUUAUUUAAUUUUAAUUUAAAAAUAAAUAAUUUAAUUAAUUAAAAAGAAUUCGGCAAAAAUUUAUAUUCACUUGUUUAACAAAAACAUGUCUUUUAGAAUUUAAUUUAAAGUCUAAUCUGCCCACUGAUAAUAAUUAAAGGGCUGCAGUAUUUUGACUGUACAAAGGUAGCAUAAUCAUUAGUCUCUUAAUUGGUGACUUGUAUGAAAGAUUGAAUGAAAUAUAAACUGUUUCUUAAUUAAUAUAUAGAACUUAAUUUUUUUUUUAAAAAGUAAAAAUAAUUUAAAAAGACGAGAAGACCCUUUAGAGUUUUAUAAUUAAAUUUAUUAAUAAAUUGUUUAUAUUAUUAUUAUAAUAUAUAUAUAUAUAUAUAUAAUAUUAUAAUAAAAAUUUUUAUAAAUUUAAUUAUUUUAUUGGGGUGAUAAAAAAAUAAAUUUAACUUUUUUAAAAUUUUUAACAGAGAUAAUUGAGUGAUUGAUCCAAUUUUAUUGAUUAUAAGAUUAAAUUACCUUAGGGAUAACAGCGUAAUUUUUUUUUUUAGUUCAAAUAAGAAAAAAAGUUUGCGACCUCGAUGUUGGAUUAAGAUAAAAUUUAAAUGCAAAAGUUUAAAAUUUUUGAUCUGUUCGAUCAUUAAAAUCUUACAUGAUCUGAGUUCAAACCGGUGUGAGCCAGGUUGGUUUCUAUCUUUUAUUAAAUUAAAUAUUUUAGUACGAAAGGAUCAAAUAUUAUAAUUAAAUUAUAUUUUUAAGAAUAUUAUUAAUAAUUAUAUAAAAUUUAUUUAUAUUUUAUUAU
This 1400-nucleotide ribosomal RNA is filed under the name Phthonandria atrilineata (mulberry looper). Its description in RNAcentral is "large subunit ribosomal RNA". Lineage: Eukaryota; Metazoa; Arthropoda; Insecta; Lepidoptera; Geometridae. The record is from RNAcentral.